GUCUGAACUCAGAUCACGNUAAGAUUUUAAAAGUCGAACAGACUUAAAAUUUAAACUACUGCACCUAAAUUUAUAUCUUAAUCCAACAUCGAGGUCGCAAUCUUUUUUAUCAAUAUGAACUCUCCAAAAAAAUUACGCUGUUAUCCCUAAAGUAACUUAAUUUUUUAAUCAUUAAAAAUGGAUCAAUUAUUCAUAAAUUAAUGAUUUAAAUUUUAAAAGUUAAUUAAAUUUUAAUAUCACCCCAAUAAAAUAUAUUUUUUUAUUAUAAUAAAAUUAUUCUUUAAAAUUAAAAUAAUAAAUAUAUAAAGAUUUAUAGGGUCUUCUCGUCUUUUAAUAAUAUUUUAGCUUUUUGACUAAAAAAUAAAAUUCUAUUAUAGAUUUAAAUGAAACAGUUAAUAUUUCGUCCAACCAUUCAUUCCAGCCUUCAAUUAAAAGACUAAUGAUUAUGCUACCUUUGCACAGUUAAGAUACUGCGGCCAUUAAAUAAAUUCAUUGGGCAGGUUAGACUUUAAAUUAAUUUCUAAAAGACAUGUUUUGAUAAACAG
Molecule: ribosomal RNA, 545 nt
Filed under: Dideopsis aegrota
Lineage: Eukaryota; Metazoa; Arthropoda; Insecta; Diptera; Syrphidae
Description: partial 16S ribosomal RNA
Source: RNAcentral